AUUGAACGCUGGCGGCAUGCCUUACACAUGCAAGUCGAACGGUAACAGGUCUUCGGAUGCUGACGAGUGGCGAACGGGUGAGUAAUACAUCGGAACGUGCCUAGUAGUGGGGGAUAACUACUCGAAAGAGUGGCUAAUACCGCAUGAGAUCUACGGAUGAAAGCAGGGGAUCGCAAGACCUUGUGCUACUAGAGCGGCCGAUGGCAGAUUGGGUAGUUGGUGGGAUAAAAGCUUACCAAGCCGACGGUCUGUAGCUGGUCUGAGAGGACGAUCAGCCACACUGGGACUGAGACACGGCCCAGAAGCCUACGGGAGGCAGCAGUGGGGAAUUUUGGACAAUGGGCGCAAGCCUGAUCCAGCAAUGCGGCGUGCAGGAUGAAGGCCUUCGGGUUGUAAACUGCUUUUGUACGGAACGAAAAGCCCCGGGUUAAUACCCUGGGGUCAUGACGGUACCGUAAGAAUAAGCACCGGCUAACUACGUGCCAGCCGCCGCCGUAA
This 498-nucleotide ribosomal RNA is filed under the name uncultured bacterium. RNAcentral's name for it is "partial 16S ribosomal RNA". It matches the Rfam family "Bacterial small subunit ribosomal RNA", at positions 30 to 523 of the family's 1533-position model. The record is from RNAcentral.